Molecule: ribosomal RNA, 720 nt
Filed under: Triticum aestivum (bread wheat)
Lineage: Eukaryota; Viridiplantae; Streptophyta; Magnoliopsida; Poales; Poaceae
Description: partial small subunit ribosomal RNA
Source: RNAcentral
AUGCUUAAUGCCAUGCCACACUUCUUUGUCAAACCAUAUGCUAUGCUUGAUGACAACACUUGUUGGGUGAAUCUCCUCUUGAAUGCUUGGUUUUGCUCUUACGCCAACCACAUUUGUUUUUCCAUGUGCUUGUUAUCUUUGCUCCUUUUGAAGGAAUUACAAGACGGUGCGACAUUGGAGAGUGCCCAUUUGGAACUACAAGAUGAUGCAUGCUUGUUUAUCGUCAAAUCCUACACGGCAACAUCAUCUCUUUCCCAUGGUGAUUUGGAUUUCGAUCCAAGGUCGGAUCUUUCCCAAGGGGGAGGGGAUGAUGCGGAGCAUCCUAUGGACAUCACCAUGUCAAGAAUCCCAUCGCUAAGAGACACGUUCAACUUCUACUUCAAUCAUACUAAGGUGAAUUCCAUCCUUAAUGCGUGUCUUCUUAGUUUCCUUGAGGAUGGUAUACUACUUGACCGUCCUACCAUGUGCCCAUAUAGGUUUGAUCCCGAUGAUGAACGUGCCAUGGAGGAGGUCAACCACAAGCGAGCGCCUACACCGUCCUCGAGUGAAGCAUGGAAACGUAGAAGGAACCGUAAAGGAGAAGGCGAGGUUCCACCUGCACCGACGGGAGUCCACGAGAAGACGUGCUGCGAGCUUCAGGACACACCGUGCGCACGGGCCCUUGGACCCCGUGCCCACAGGACCCCGUGCCCACGGUACAAGCCUGUGCACACGGGCUAA